GCCUGAUGCGGUGUAAUUGACGAUAAUGCAAAACAACACACCUGAACGCGACUGCAUAAAACUCGCUGAAACGGAAAUGACGUAACCUGUUUGGUAUACUCGCUUCACUGCUGAAAUGGUUUGAAGCGGUUUGUUUCUCAUCAUUCUAACUGAAACAAGUUGAAGAGAGGCAAAGGACGCUAUUGUGUGGUGCAUGGAGGCAACAGUACUAGUUGCUAUAUUGACGAAGUUUUGUUUCAUUUCUUUCGGGUAAAAAAUAGAAAUUGAGAAGACAGUGGAUCAAUUUUGUUUGCGUGCCACGUAAAGAUUUUGAUCUGCGGUCGAAGACGAUGCGGAUAUGUGAGAAACAAUUUGAGAUUCGCGCUACCUGAUACAGUAACGACAAUUGAAAAACAUUGAAAAAGAAGAAGAAAUGUAAAUUUUUGCUGACAGAGAUAGUUACGACCACUCGCCUGCAUACCAAGAUAUUCAUCAUACAGAGGCACAAGAUACUAGUAACAAGAGGGACCCAGCUGAAGGGAAUGAAGGUCCAAGAUCAUUUGCUGUUCAGUCUAAGCCUAAACUUCAAUGUAAAGGUUUUGUCCACUGACUGCUGACCGUUGAAGACCGUUGAAGAAAAUUCAGUGACAUACCUCUGGUGGGAAUAGCCCCACCCCCUUUGACAGCAC
Molecule: long non-coding RNA, 668 nt
Organism: Lingula anatina
Lineage: Eukaryota; Metazoa; Brachiopoda; Lingulata; Lingulida; Lingulidae
Source: RefSeq, a predicted model, not a curated record